GAGAGGAGCCCCAUCCCCAGGAUUCACAGGUGUUUCCACUGAAUUUUCACGGCUGAAAAAGGAGACUCGCCAUGGAGUUUGGACUUUGCUGGGUUUUCCUUGUUGCCAUUUUAGAAGGUGUCCAGUGUGAGGUGCAGCUGGUGGAGUCUGGGGGAGGCUUGGUUCAGCCCGGGGGGUCCCUGAGACUCUCCUGUGCAGCUUCUGGAUUCACGUUCAGUGACUAUGGCAUGAACUGGUUUCGACAGGCUCCGGGGAAGGGGCUGGAGUGGGUCUCAUACAUUAGAUAUGAUGGUGGUAGCACAAACUACGCAGACUCCGUGAAGGGCCGAUUCACCAUCUCCAGAGACAACGCCAAGAACUCGCUGUAUCUGCAGAUGAACAGCCUGAGAGCCGAGGACACGGCCGUGUAUUACUGUGCGGGACACAGUGAGGGGAGGUGUCCAUCCGGGAUCAGCCGUGUGCCCCGCAGCCACCGAGCCUUUUCAUCCCUGCUGUGCUCAGUCACUGUCUGCGAGGAGCUCCCAGGACGUGUGUGUUUGGCUCAGACCCGGUGA
Molecule: non-coding RNA, 554 nt
Organism: Callithrix jacchus (white-tufted-ear marmoset)
Lineage: Eukaryota; Metazoa; Chordata; Mammalia; Primates; Cebidae
Source: the annotation of a RefSeq genome assembly